This 500-nucleotide ribosomal RNA is filed under the name uncultured bacterium. Its description in RNAcentral is "partial 16S ribosomal RNA". It matches the Rfam family "Bacterial small subunit ribosomal RNA", at positions 30 to 523 of the family's 1533-position model. The record is from RNAcentral.
AUUGAACGCUGGCGGAAUGCUUUACACAUGCAAGUCGAACGGCAGCACGGACUUCGGUCUGGUGGCGAGUGGCGAACGGGUGAGUAAUGUAUCGGAACGUGCCCAGUCGUGGGGGAUAACGUAGUGAAAAUUACGCUAAUACCGCAUACGAUCUAUGAAUGAAAGCGGGGGAUCGCAAGACCUCGCGCGAUUGGAGCGGCCGAUAUCAGAUUAGGUAGUUGGUGAGGUAAAGGCCCACCAAGCCAACGAUCUGUAGCUGGUCUGAGAGGACGACCAGCCACACGGGAACUGAGACACGGUCCAGACUCCUACGGGAGGCAGCAGUGGGGAAUUUUGGACAAUGGGCGAAAGCCUGAUCCAGCCAUUCCGCGUGCAGGAUGAAGGCCCUCGGGUUGUAAACUGCUUUUGUACAGAACGAAAAGGUUUCUACUAAUACUAGGAGCUCAUGACGGUACUGUAAGAAUAAGCACCGGCUAACUACGUGCCAGCCGCCGCCGUAA